Molecule: ribosomal RNA, 495 nt
Filed under: uncultured bacterium
Lineage: Bacteria
Description: bacterial SSU rRNA
Rfam family: Bacterial small subunit ribosomal RNA
Source: RNAcentral
GACGAACGCUGGCGGCGUGCCUGACACAUGCAAGUCGGACGGUUCUUGCACCUUCAAGCUUGCUUGCUGGUGCAAGGAUAGUGGCGGACGGGUGAGUAACGCGUGAACAUCUACCCAUUGGAGGGGGACAACCCGUCGAAAGGCGGGCUAAUACCGCGUAAGCCGCGAGGUGAGAGGCUGCCUAUUGGUGGCCGCCGAUGGAUGGGUUCGCGUCCUAUCAGCUGGUUGGUGGGGUAACGGCCUACCAAGGCGAAGACGGGUAGCCGGUCUGAGAGGAUGGCCGGCCACACUGGAACUGAGACACGGUCCAGACUCCUACGGGAGGCAGCAGUGGGGAAUAUUGGGCAAUGGGGGUAACCCUGACCCAGCGACGCCGCGUGAGGGACGAAGGUUUUCGGAUCGUAAACCUCUGUUGUACGGGAAGAAGGAAUUGACGGUACCGUACGAGAAAGCCCCGGCAAACUACGUAGCCAGCAGCCGCGGUAAACUAGCGUG